RNAcentral lists this RNase P RNA (371 nucleotides) under Bacteroidota bacterium. RNAcentral's name for it is "RNase P RNA component class A". It matches the Rfam family "Bacterial RNase P class A". From Rfam's summary of the family: Ribonuclease P (RNase P) is a ubiquitous endoribonuclease, found in archaea, bacteria and eukarya as well as chloroplasts and mitochondria. Its best characterised activity is the generation of mature 5'-ends of tRNAs by cleaving the 5'-leader elements of precursor-tRNAs. Lineage: Bacteria; Pseudomonadati; Bacteroidota. The record is from RNAcentral.
UUACAAACCCGAGCUAUCGUUACGCCUUGGCGUGAAGGAAAGUCCGGACAGCGCAGAGCAACCCACCGGUUAAUGGCCGGCAUCCCGCCUUUGGCGGGGGAGAGAAAGUGCCACAGAAAAUAACUACUCAGGAUGCAAGUCCUGAGAAAAGGUGAAAAUGUGAGGUAAAAGCUCACGAUACCGUUUGGUAACAUCCGGUAUGGGUAAACCUUGGGUGCUGUAAUGCCACGUAUAGGAUUCUUUGAGGGCGGCUCGUCCGAUCCCGCAUUUGCGGAGGAAUCCAGGGUAGGCAGCUAGAUCGCAGCAGUAAUGCUGCGGCCAGAUAAAUGAUAGUUUAGAAACAGAAUCCGGCUUAUGAGGUUUGUAACUUU